ACCCUUGAUUUUAGGUGCCAUCAUUAAGUUGGGCACUUUAAGGUGACUGCCGGUGACAAACCGGAGGAAGGUGGGGAAGACGUCAAAUCAUCAUGCCCCUUAUGACCUGGGCUACACACGUGGUACAAUGGACGGUACAAAGAGCUGCAAGGCCGCGAGGUGGAGCUAAUUUCAUAAAACCGUUUUCAGUUCGGAUUGUAGGCUGCAACUUGCCUACAUGAAGCUGGAAUCGCUAGUAAUCGCGGAUCAGCAUGCCGCGGUGAAUACGUUCCCGGGCCUUGUACA
RNAcentral lists this ribosomal RNA (285 nucleotides) under Bacillus cereus. Its description in RNAcentral is "partial 16S ribosomal RNA". It matches the Rfam family "Bacterial small subunit ribosomal RNA", at positions 1101 to 1387 of the family's 1533-position model. Lineage: Bacteria; Bacillati; Bacillota; Bacilli; Caryophanales; Bacillaceae. The record is from RNAcentral.